UGGGGCGUCGCCAAGUGGUAAGGCACCGGGUUUUGGUACCGGCAUUCGCAGGUUCGAAUCCUGCCGCCCCAGCCA
RNAcentral lists this transfer RNA (75 nucleotides) under Sphingomonadales bacterium. RNAcentral describes it as "tRNA-Gln". It matches the Rfam family "tRNA". Rfam says of the family: Transfer RNA (tRNA) molecules are approximately 80 nucleotides in length. Their secondary structure includes four short double-helical elements and three loops (D, anti-codon, and T loops). Lineage: Bacteria; Pseudomonadati; Pseudomonadota; Alphaproteobacteria; Sphingomonadales. The record is from RNAcentral.